UUCUCACUUAUUUUGAAUGCUGCUGUAUAUCUUCCAGUGAUCUGAUUUGCUGUACCAUGUUUUCCUAGCGAUCUGAUUGGUUGUCAUGCAUGUCAGUGUGUGUGUGUUCACCUCACCUUCUUUGUAGCUUUGGAACGACGGCAAACCAGCGUUGAUGGCGACCGACACAGGCCCCACCUUUGCCACGGCAGCUUGAAGGGCCAUUUCAUUGCCACUCGGGACAGCGGCAAAAGACACGCAGUAGCCAGCUCUUCCUCUGGACGAAUACCGGCAAUCUCCGACCUUUUGAAGUGUAGCGAAAUAAUUACAAACAAAAAAAAGGCGCACACAACUAGGUUGAAUCGCGUACAGGCAUGUCUGGCUGUUGGCUGCAUGCUGUCAUGAUGUCUGUGUCUAUACGGUACGGGGUAGUAUCUCCCGGAGUCGAUGCCGUCGUUAUCGAUGACGUACUGGAAGGCCUUGGAGACCCAGCCCCCGUCACAGCCGUGGUUCUCGUAGCUGCAGUCCAUCAGAUUCUGCGGGCUGAGGGGCUUCAGGAACCUGGUCUUCAUCGCCAUCUGGCCCUCCAGGGCCCCCACGGCGCUGAAGGCCCAGCAGGAGCCACAUUGCCCCUGGGGAUUACAGGAGACACCAGGCCGUACUGCCUCCAGUCCACACUCUCUGGGACCUUCUCGACCCCCUUGUCCCAUCGUGUGGAGGUCCAGCUGUCGAAGCUGGCGGGGUCUUCCUCCAUGAGACGGUUGAGCUUUGCGUUCACUUCGUCUGUGGUCUUGAGUUCACACAGAAACAAAACGUGAAGGAUGGACCUAAUUCAAAUGUGGUGACUUGUAUCCAUUCGCUGUGAUCUGUUCAGAUAAUCAGCUACAGAUUAGACGAAACACACUUUUCGGCAUGAUUUUAAAUCUCACUAACAAUAAGAACAGAAUGUUAUUGAUGCUGAUUCAUUUCCAAAAUGAAAUGAUAUAAUUCUUGAUACCACACAUUACAGUAUAGUUGUUUCUGUUUCUUUAUCUGUUUUUUUUACAAUUUUGUCCUGUUUCAGUCCUAGAUGAUGAACAUUAUUCUGGAUUAAACGUGACAUAUUAUACCACCAGGUGUGAAUGUGAUUAGCUGUUACAAGCCGUUUUGAGGGUAUAAUUGGUAUGAUAUGUCACAUUUAAUCCUAUCAGAUAUUUAUCGGGAGAUUACGAUCGGGACUCAAUGGGUGGUUUGAGUAAGUGCUGCGAAGGGAACCGGUCUGAUCCAGAUCAACAUUGUUUUGCAAUUAGCAGCACUUAGCUGGACGAGAGCCACACGGAGGCGCUGGAGGACCCACCAUGUCAGCCAGCUGGUUCAGGCCCAGGGUGAAGGUGGAGUUCCCGGCCUCGGCCUCCAGGUUGUGCCUCCUCACCAUCCUCCACUUGUUCUCCCACACGGCCCUUCUGUACACCGCCUCCGCCUGGAGGAGACCAUAGCACACCGUCUGUGUGUGUGUGCGGUGUGCGUGUGCGUGUGUGUGUGUGUGUAGGUGUUUAUGUGUGUGUGUGUGUGUGUGUGUGUGUGUGUGUGUGUGUGUGUGUGUGUGUGUGUGUGUGUGUGUGUGUGUGUGUGUGUGUGUGUGUGUGUGUGUGUGUGUGUGUGUGUGUGCGUGCACGGUGGUCGUACCUCAUCGGUGUACACCUUCUGGAACUCGGCCCUCCAUGCUUCCCAUUGGUCGUUGAGGUGAGGGGAAGCGAGGCCGAAGACCGCAAAGGUCAGGAAGAGAGCCAGUGAGCGCAUGCUAGAAGAAUAGACACAUAGAUGUUAAUGUAAAUAAAAGAUGAAUAAACUGCGCUUCCAUAGCACUCUAAUCUGUGGUCACCCACAGUGUUUUACAACUACUACUCUUCACCCAUUCAGAAACAUAUUCUUACACUUUGAGGAUAAGACCCUGAAUGUAUGUUGAUUUUUAGACGAAUAGAAGAUGUGUCCAAAACAAAUGAACAAGAGGCAAAAUCUCUUUGGGGAACUUAGAUUGUUUUCCUUGAUAUACAUACCUCAUACAUGUACUUUGUUGAGCAGUAAGAUUAAGAGAUUAGAAGCAUGAUUUUGAUCGACCUUUUCUAUGAACCCUUUUUGUCAUUACUCCACUGACUUUCAAUCAAAAUGAUUCCACAACACAACGUUCCUCCUUCUCUGAGAAAUCUGUGUUAGUCAACGAAUCUGCUACUGAAUGGUCUCCAUCUAGGAAUGAUGGACAGAAGUGAUCCCAAUUUACCUUUCUCAAGUCCAACAGAGCUGACGUCUUGUCUUCUGAAUGAUGGAAGUGGGUCUGCGUGCCUGUGUUUGAUUCUCCCAUCAUAUAUACUGAAAAAAAUGAUGAAAACGCAUUCAUAGAAAGGGGAACCAAAAGUGUGAGAAUAAUCAAUUGGGUUAUUUCCUCCACUGUGGUUUCUGAACGACUGGUUGGUCAUAUAUAGUGAACCCUUUAUACAAUGACUGGAAUGAAUCCAACACAGUCCUUAGCUAUUGGUAGUUUAAGGGUUUCUCUUUCUGACUCACAUUCCUUCCAACUACACAUAAUCCAGCUCCAAAAAUGUUUUGUUUUCCGUAGUAUCAGGUAAACAGUCUGCAUGUAUUUGCUACACCAAAACCCAACGAUUAGUAAUCUCUGCAGGAUGCCUGCUUUGCACAGGGUUUGUACAGAAGUAACAGACCUAGAUGGUUGGGCGGAUUGAUGUUGCUCUACAUUUCUAAAUAAUGUGAUAUUUCCUCCUUGUACCGAAAAGGAAAAACUCCUUGUAUAGGUCACCUACUUGAUUGGUUGCACUAAAUCGCCCAACAAUUCCCCUCCUAAUUGGCACCCUGCCUACAUACGUUUAUCUUCCAUAUCACAGACAUGUGAUUGAAAAGCAAGGUGGAUUUCCCGAACCAGCCAUAAAGGAGUUGUCCUGAUUGUUCAGAAUUGAGCCCGGAUCGGUUUGGAAUCCGAAUUGGUGCAGAUGCCUAUUCCUAGAUACAUAUAUAGGACACUAGAUAGAUGCUUGAACGACCACAACGGACCCCCGAUCAGUUAUCCACUAUAGGGUACAACGGACGGUGCUCUAUCGCACAGAGAUUCUUGUUCCUGGCCAUGCGGAUAUACGCUUGCUCUCCCCACCUGGAACCCCAGCUGAAAGAAAGAGUGGAGAAAUGUUGAAAUGUGAAAAAAAAGAGAAAAAAAAUCCAAUGAUAAAGUUUUAUACUUUAUCAUUGUUACUUUGCGUACCACUUUUAAUGUGUGGUAUCUGUGUGGUCUUUGUAAUUCAUUG
Molecule: long non-coding RNA, 3269 nt
Organism: Gadus chalcogrammus (walleye pollock)
Lineage: Eukaryota; Metazoa; Chordata; Actinopteri; Gadiformes; Gadidae
Exons: 3
Source: RefSeq, a predicted model, not a curated record